AUUGGAGGUUUUUGAAGGUCAAGGGAAUUAGAGAGAGGAGCUUCAUGCUUCGGGUCGGGGAAGGAAAGACAUAGAAUUUGGAUUUUUCUUCUUCAUAGAGUUUUGGGAAGACUGAGGCAAUCGCUGCUGAAGUCAGUGUUGUAAUGGUGAAUCGGGAUUUUUAAAUGAAGUGGAUUUGAAUAGUCUUGACUGUUUUGUAAAAUCGAGUUACGUCUGCGACUGAAGGAUUAAAGCGGUGUCUAUAGGAUUGAGUAUGCAGAGUGAAUGAAAUUUAUUGCGUUAAUCUAACAGGACUGUCAGUGGAUACAAGAUCGUAAGUAUAAAGGGAUAUUGAAGAUUAACAGUUUGGCUUGUUCGAGGUUCUCUGUAACGUCUAAAGACCUAUCGGCUGGGGCAAAAAAAAGACUUCGACAAGCAGUCGAAGAGCAUCCAUAUAGAUUUACAAUACAUUAUUACAGUCGUUUAUAUUUCAGCAGUCAAAAAUUGAUAGACUGCUUGACUAUCGGUGAAUCUCCAUACUACCUUCUACUGCUAGACGCCCGGUGUCGUGUUGUAACACGAGUAUACAGUGAAAAUAAAAAGAAAGGGGAAUUUUAUUAAUAUUCAGUUACCUCUAAUAUUGGGAGCAUCGGCCAACUCCAAUACAAAUACUGAGUGGUCAGGUUCAGUCACUCCGUUAUAGUCAGCCGGGGCAUACUGAAAUGCUCCAUUCGAUUCCAAUAACGGGAGUCAGCAGGAAGAGAAGGACCAAUUCACACGACGGGUUUGAGGAGCCAAUUGGAUCCAAUUUCGAUAAUCCAAUCCGUGUCCUCUUAUCCAAUAUGAGACCUGAAUUGGCCGAUCAACCCAAUGCAGUCUAAUUACGGGAAAUCCAGGUCUUACUACGGAUCUUAGCCAAUCUGACGCGAGGACCAAUUUGACCCAAUUACGGGAACAUCAAGGUUACUACAGGCAUCUUUCCCAAUAUAGGACCUGAAUUGGUCGGUCGACUCAAUGUGGUCUAAUUACGGGAAAUCCAGGUCUUACUACGGGAGGUUUUUGAAGAUCAAGGAAAUUAGAGAGAGGAGCUUCAUGCUUCGGGUCGAGGAAGGAAAGACAUAGAAUUUGGAUUUUUCUUCUUCAUAGAGUUUUGGGAAGACUGAGGCAAUCGCUGCUGAAGUCAGUGUUGUAAUGGUCAAUCGGGAUUUUUAAAUGAAGAGGGUUUGAAUACUCUUGACUGUUUUGUAAAAUCGAGUUAUGUCUGUGAUUGAAGGAUUAAAGGGGUGUCUAUAGGAUUGAGUAUGCGGAGUGAAUGAAAUUUAUUGAGUUAAUCUAACAGGACAGUCAGUGGAUACAAGAUCGUAAGUACAAAGGGGUAUUGA
This 1361-nucleotide long non-coding RNA is filed under the name Physcomitrium patens. Its description in RNAcentral is "long non-coding RNA (PPAT_LNC008998)". The record is from RNAcentral. Lineage: Eukaryota; Viridiplantae; Streptophyta; Bryopsida; Funariales; Funariaceae.